CAGGGCGGGCUGGGUCUGGGCUGAGGG
Molecule: non-coding RNA, 27 nt
Filed under: Cricetulus griseus (Chinese hamster)
Lineage: Eukaryota; Metazoa; Chordata; Mammalia; Rodentia; Cricetidae
Source: RNAcentral